AGCUCCAAUAGCGUAUAUUAAAGUUGUUGUGGUUAAAAAGCUCGUAGUUGGAUCUCAACAGACCUGGAUCGGUUUACUUUGUGUACUACUGAUCCAGAGCUGUGCUUUUGAUGGAGGUUUAGGGGUGCUCUUAACCGAGUGUCUCUGAGUGCCGUCAGGUUUACUUUGAAAAAAUUAGCGCGCUUCAAGCAGGCUGUUAUGCCGGAAUAUUUGUGCAUGGAAUAAUAGAAUAGGAUGUUGAUCUUAUUUUGUUGGUUUUCGAGACUCGACAUAAUGAUUAAUAGGGACAGUCGGGGGCAUUUGUAUUCAAACGACAGAGGUGAAAUUCUUGGACCGUUUGAAGACAAACUACUGCGAAAGCAUUUGCCAAGAAUGUUU
RNAcentral lists this ribosomal RNA (378 nucleotides) under uncultured eukaryote. RNAcentral describes it as "SSU rRNA". It matches the Rfam family "Eukaryotic small subunit ribosomal RNA", at positions 587 to 969 of the family's 1831-position model. The record is from RNAcentral.